UAGCUGCGCUGACGGACAGGUAAUGUUUGUUAGGACACCUACCCAAGAAGGAUGGCUGGAACAGGGCCUCUGGGCACCUGAACCUCUCAUUGCCAAUGGUGA
Long non-coding RNA from Sinocyclocheilus rhinocerous, 102 nucleotides. RefSeq lists it as uncharacterized. The transcript has 3 exons. The record is from RefSeq and is a predicted model, not a curated record. NCBI's taxonomy places the organism in Eukaryota, Metazoa, Chordata, Actinopteri, Cypriniformes, Cyprinidae.